GUUGUGCCUUGAGGCGUGGCUUCCGGAGCUAACGCGUUAAGUCGACCGCCUGGGGAGUACGGCCGCAAGGUUAAAACUCAAAUGAAUUGACGGGGGCCCGCACAAGCGGUGGAGCAUGUGGUUUAAUUCGAUGCAACGCGAAGAACCUUACCUACUCUUGACAUCCAGAGAACUUUCCAGAGAUGGAUUGGUGCCUUCGGGAACUCUGAGACAGGUGCUGCAUGGCUGUCGUCAGCUCGUGUUGUGAAAUGUUGGGUUAAGUCCCGCAACGAGCGCAACCCUUAUCCUUUGUUGCCAGCGGUCCGGCCGGGAACUCAAAGGAGACUGCCAGUGAUAAACUGGAGGAAGGUGGGGAUGACGUCAAGUCAUCAUGGCCCUUACGAGUAGGGCUACACACGUGCUACAAUGGCGCAUACAAAGAGAAGCGAACUCGCGAGAGCAAGCGGACCUCAUAAAGUGCGUCGUAGUCCGGAUUGGAGUCUGCAACUCGACUCCAUGAAGUCGGAAUCGCUAGUAAUCGUAGAUCAGAAUGCUACGGUGAAUACGUUCCCGGGCCUUGCACUCACCCGCCCGUCAAAA
Molecule: ribosomal RNA, 579 nt
Filed under: Enterobacterales bacterium
Lineage: Bacteria; Pseudomonadati; Pseudomonadota; Gammaproteobacteria; Enterobacterales
Description: bacterial SSU rRNA
Rfam family: Bacterial small subunit ribosomal RNA
Source: RNAcentral